RNAcentral lists this small nuclear RNA (106 nucleotides) under Aspergillus ustus. Its description in RNAcentral is "U2 spliceosomal RNA". It matches the Rfam family "U2 spliceosomal RNA", at positions 85 to 192 of the family's 192-position model. From Rfam's summary of the family: U2 is a small nuclear RNA (snRNA) component of the spliceosome (involved in pre-mRNA splicing). Complementary binding between U2 snRNA (in an area lying towards the 5' end but 3' to hairpin I) and the branchpoint sequence (BPS) of the intron results the bulging out of an unpaired adenosine, on the BPS, which initiates a nucleophilic attack at the intronic 5' splice site, thus starting the first of two transesterification reactions that mediate splicing. Lineage: Eukaryota; Fungi; Ascomycota; Eurotiomycetes; Eurotiales; Aspergillaceae. The record is from Rfam by way of RNAcentral.
UUGAUUAAUCUUAUUUUUGGUCUUCGUGGCAGAGCCUCUGUGCUUGCGCAUGCUUUGCUACAUAGUGUCAUCGGGCUUACACUACCUCCGAUCGACGCGAAUCACC